This 204-nucleotide long non-coding RNA is filed under the name Elaeis guineensis (African oil palm). RNAcentral describes it as "long non-coding RNA (EGUI_LNC021934)". The record is from RNAcentral. Lineage: Eukaryota; Viridiplantae; Streptophyta; Magnoliopsida; Arecales; Arecaceae.
UUUCCUAGCUCUCCAUGCAUUACCUCUGCCUCCCCUCUUUUAUUUCUAUUUCUAUCCUUCACUUGUUUCCUUUCAUCUCCUCUUGUCUUCUCCACCGACAUUCGUCGAACCAUCUUGAAUCGGACAGUUUAAGACAUUCCGAGCCGUAUCAAUAGCAAAUCGAAAUGGAUCGAUCAGACAAAUCAGAACACAGAAUGAGGGAGA